GCUGCCAAAAGCAAGCGACACAGUUGGAGCGAUCGUCCAAGUGCGCGGAUCGCUUGAAGAACGAGCUCAUAUAUUAAGUAAUAUAUUACCGCCAAAUUAAUUAAUUUUCAAGUCCAAGUUAAUGUGAUAUUUGUUAUUGUUGUGCAUAAAGUUUGUUAGCAAGUGGGCAAAGGUGCCAACAGUGAGCUAAUUAAUAAAAAGCAAGUUCGUCAGUAGAGAUUGAAAAGCAAAGCCUAUAAGAUGGGAAAGUUCGAGUACUCACUCGGAUUGAAUGAGCUUAAAUCUAAGGAGCUGAGAUUAUGGCAGGCCCUAAUCGGAGAAUUCCUGGGAAAUCUCAUCCUCAAUUUUUUCGCCUGUGGUGCCUGCACUCAAGUGGAGGAUAGCACCUUCAAGGCCCUAGCUUUUGGCUUGGCCAUUUUCAUGGCUAUUACGAUCGUUGGUCAUUUGAGCGGCGGACACGUUAACCCUGCCGUUACUGUGGCCAUGUUAGUUGCUGGUCGAAUAAGUUUUCUCAGAGCCCUUUUCUAUAUAAUCUUCCAAUGUUUGGGAGCCAUUGCGGGAACAGCUGCAGUCAGGACUCUUAUCGACCAGGAUUACUAUAAUGGCCUGGGCCACACGACUCUGGCUCCCAACAUCACGGAACUGCAGGGUCUCGGCAUCGAGUUCUUCCUGGGCUUCCUUUUGGUGCUGACUGUGUUUGGAGCCUGUGACCCCAACAAGCCGGACUCCCGCUUCACGGCACCUCUGGCCAUCGGCAUGGCAGUGACUUUGGGUCAUUUGGGAACCAUUCGGUACACGGGAUCCAGUAUGAAUCCUGCGCGUACCGUGGGCACUGCAUUCGCUACCGGCAAUUGGUCUGCCCACUGGAUCUACUGGGUGGGUCCCAUCCUCGGGGGCGUGACAGCUGCCCUACUCUACACCCAGAUCCUAGAGGCGAAGCCGGAGCCGAAGACGAAUGAGGCCGCCGAGAAGUACCGAACACACGCCGAUGAACGCGAGGUGAGAAUCAGAUUGAUUAAUGCCUGGAGCGAGGAGUACUUCUACUGAUCAUUAUUACCUCGUUACACACUCAUACACAUUCAUGCACACGCACUCACUCACAGAUACACAUUAUGCGAAAAUUGGAAAGUGCACGCGACUUUGCUUAGGAAUGGAGGAAAACUUGGAGUGCCUCGAAUCCAGAGAGAGAAGUGGAAAGGAUCAAUAAGGAUCAUUUAAUGAAUUCAGCUCUGUGUCUAUCCUACUUAUUACCUAUGUUGUUUCCUCGUUCGUGUGUAUUUAUGUAUUUAUUCAUGAAACGUUCAUUUUUUAUUUAACUAAUACAUAAGCUGCCGUAAAAUGCAAUUUACAAACUAAAUUACUUGUACAUGUCUCAUGCCAGCACAAUAAAGUGAAAUGUUAAAAAUAAA
Molecule: RNA transcript, 1409 nt
Organism: Drosophila bipectinata
Lineage: Eukaryota; Metazoa; Arthropoda; Insecta; Diptera; Drosophilidae
Gene: Prip
Gene name: aquaporin prip
Source: RefSeq, a predicted model, not a curated record